RNAcentral lists this ribosomal RNA (468 nucleotides) under uncultured bacterium. Its description in RNAcentral is "partial 16S ribosomal RNA". It matches the Rfam family "Bacterial small subunit ribosomal RNA", at positions 28 to 507 of the family's 1533-position model. The record is from RNAcentral.
GACGAACGCUGGCGGCGCGCCUAACACAUGCAAGUCGAACGGAGCUGAGAGAAGCUUGCUUUUCUUAGCUUAGUGGCGAACGGGUGAGUAACGCGUGAGUAACCUGCCCUGGAGUGGGGGACAACAGUUGGAAACGACUGCUAAUACCGCAUAAGCCCACGAUCCGGCAUCGGAUUGAGGGAAAAGGAUUUAUUCGCUUCAGGAUGGACUCGCGUCCAAUUAGCUAGUUGGUGAGGUAACGGCCCACCAAGGCGAGGAUUGGUAGCCGGACUGAGAGGUGGGCCGGCCACAUUGGGACUGAGACACGGCCCAGACUCCUACGGGAGGCAGCAGUGGGGGAUAUUGCCCAAUGGGGGAAACCCUGAUGCAGCGCCGCCGCGUGGAGGAAGAAGGUUUUCGGAUUGUAAACUCCUGUCGUUAGGGACGAUAAUGACGGUACCUAACAAGAAAGCACCGGCUAACUACGUG